RNAcentral lists this unclassified non-coding RNA (149 nucleotides) under soil metagenome. RNAcentral describes it as "partial internal transcribed spacer 1". The record is from RNAcentral.
CCGAGUUUACAACUCCCAAACCCCUGUGAACAUACCUACUGUUGCCUCGGCGGAUCAGCCCGCGCUCCCGGUAAAACGGGACGGCCCGCCAGAGGACCCCUAAACUCUGUUUCUAUAUGUAACUUCUGAGUAAAACCAUAAAUAAAUCA